GUGCCCGCUUCAGCAGCACAUACGCUAAAACUGGAACGAUACAGAGAAGAUAAGCAUGGCCCCUGUGCAAGGGUGACACGCAAAUUCGUGAAGCGUUCCAUGUUUUU
Molecule: small nuclear RNA, 107 nt
Organism: Orcinus orca (killer whale)
Lineage: Eukaryota; Metazoa; Chordata; Mammalia; Artiodactyla; Delphinidae
Source: RefSeq, a predicted model, not a curated record